This is a long non-coding RNA of Gambusia affinis (western mosquitofish), 360 nucleotides long. RefSeq lists it as uncharacterized. The record is from RefSeq and is a predicted model, not a curated record. Lineage: Eukaryota; Metazoa; Chordata; Actinopteri; Cyprinodontiformes; Poeciliidae. The transcript has 4 exons.
CCUAACAGACAAACACAACCUACAUCCAAAAUGUGGCGGUACGAGAGACCAUCUUAAACCUGACUCUGAGCAGCCUUGCUCUUAAAUUUGACGUCUUUCAAGUAGAAGACUACCAGCUGUGGUUCCAAGACUAUUUGAUUCCUGUGAUAGCAAGCAUCCAACCUGACAGCCUGCGGGUGAUACCCAGUAACAUCAGCUGUGAAUCCUACAGAGCGAUAGUCACUGGCCUAAUGGAAAGCCUGAAGAUCCUGCCACUGCACAUUUCAAUGGACGUGAGAUCAAGCCUGGAAUCGCUGCAGGAGGCCUUCCCAGAUUGUGCAAGACUGGAUUCUUUCACGUGCAAAGACACACAUGUUGAUG